GCGGAGGGAUCAUUGCGAAACGAGUCUCCGGACUUCUAAACCACUGUGAACCUUACCUUUGUUCUAGUUGCUUCGGCGGCCGGCUCCCCCCCGGGGGGGCCGCCGUGGCCCGCCCGUUGGGUGGCCGCCGGGCGACGACCCCAAAGAAACCAUUGCGUAUCAGUUAGUUACCUCUGAGUCUAUUACCAUAAAACGUAAUUAAAACUUUCAACAAUGGAUCUCUUGGCUCUGGCAUCGAUGAAGAACGCAGCGAAAUGCGAUAAGUAAUGCGAAUUGCAGAAUUCAGUGAAUCAUCGAAUCUUUGAACGCACAUUGCGCCCGCCAGCACUCUGGCGGGCAUGCCUGUCCGAGCGUCAUUUCAACCCUCGGGGCCCGCGCCUUCACCGGCCGGGCACCGGUGUUGGGGCGCUGCGAGCACCGUCUCUGCAGCCCCCUAAAGAAAUCGGCGGACCCGCUGAGGCACCCGAGCGCAGUAGAACCUCUUCUCGCUGUGGGCUGUCCCGGUGGGCUUCCGGCCGCUAAAGCCUAGAGGGCGCAAGCCCCCUAACCUCGAAAUUUUGACCUCGGAUC
RNAcentral lists this ribosomal RNA (570 nucleotides) under fungal sp. F070. RNAcentral's name for it is "eukaryotic LSU rRNA". The stretch from base 203 to 356 matches the Rfam family "5.8S ribosomal RNA". Lineage: Eukaryota; Fungi. The record is from RNAcentral.